RNAcentral lists this ribosomal RNA (433 nucleotides) under uncultured bacterium. RNAcentral describes it as "partial 16S ribosomal RNA". It matches the Rfam family "Bacterial small subunit ribosomal RNA", at positions 29 to 507 of the family's 1533-position model. The record is from RNAcentral.
AACGAACGCUGGCGGCAUGCCUAACACAUGCAAGUCGAACGAGACCUUCGGGUCUAGUGGCGCACGGGUGCGUAACGCGCGGGAACCUGCCCUUAGGUUCGGAAUAACUCCCCGAAAGGGGUGCUAAUACCGGAUAAUGUCUUCGGACCAAAGAUUUAUCGCCUUUGGAUGGGCCCGCGUUGGAUUAGCUAGUUGGUAGGGUAAAAGCCUACCAAGGCGACGAUCCAUAGCUGGUCUGAGAGGAUGAUCAGCCACACUGGGACUGAGACACGGCCCAGACUCCUACGCGAGGCAGCAGUGGGGAAUAUUGGACAAUGGGCGAAAGCCUGAUCCAGCAAGGCCGCGUGAGUGAUGAAGGCCUUAGGGUUGUAAAGCUCUUUUACCCGGGAUGAUAAUGACAGUACCGGGAGAAUAAGCACCGGCUAACUCCGUG